This 400-nucleotide ribosomal RNA is filed under the name uncultured bacterium. RNAcentral's name for it is "bacterial SSU rRNA". It matches the Rfam family "Bacterial small subunit ribosomal RNA", at positions 355 to 771 of the family's 1533-position model. The record is from RNAcentral.
UGAGGAAUAUUGCACAAUGGGCGAAAGCCUGAUGCAGCGACGCCGCGUGGGUGAAGAAGGUUUUCGGAUCGUAAAACCCUUUUCUGUGUGACGAGAGAGGACGGUAGCACAGGAAUAAGUCUCGGCUAACUACGUGCCAGCAGCCGCGGUAAAACGUAGGAGACAAACGUUAUCCGGAGUUACUGGGCGUAAAGGGCGUGCAGGCGGCAGCCUAAGUCUGGCGUGAAAUAUCCCGGCUUAACCGGGAGAGGUCGUCGGAUACUGGGCAGCUAGAGGGCGGUAGAGGCGUGUGGAAUUCCGGGUGUAGUGGUGAAAUGCGUAGAGAUCCGGAGGAACACCAGUGGCGAAGGCGACACGCUGGGCCGCACCUGACGCUAAGACGCGACAGCAUGGGGAGCGA